This 29-nucleotide non-coding RNA is filed under the name Mus musculus (house mouse). Lineage: Eukaryota; Metazoa; Chordata; Mammalia; Rodentia; Muridae. The record is from RNAcentral.
UGUUUUACGGGAACACUUCAUUACCAUGA